This 454-nucleotide ribosomal RNA is filed under the name uncultured bacterium. RNAcentral describes it as "partial 16S ribosomal RNA". It matches the Rfam family "Bacterial small subunit ribosomal RNA", at positions 28 to 507 of the family's 1533-position model. The record is from RNAcentral.
GAUGAACGCUGACAGAAUGCUUAACACAUGCAAGUCAACUUGAACUUCGGUUUGGGUGGCGGACGGGUGAGUAACGCGUAAAGAACUUGCCUCACAGAUAGGGACAACAUUUGGAAACGAAUGCUAAUACCUGAUAUUAUGAUUAUAUGGCAUCGUAUAAUUAUGAAAGCUAUAUGCGCUGUGAGAGAGCUUUGCGUCCCAUUAGCUAGUUGGAGAGGUAACGGCUCACCAAGGCGAUGAUGGGUAGCCGGCCUGAGAGGGUGAUCGGCCACAAGGGGACUGAGACACGGCCCUUACUCCUACGGGAGGCAGCAGUGGGGAAUAUUGGACAAUGGACCAAGAGUCUGAUCCAGCAAUUCUGUGUGCACGAUGAAGUUUUUCGGAAUGUAAAGUGCUUUCAGUUGGGAAGAAAAGAAUGACGGUACCAACAGAAGAAGUGACGGCUAAAUACGUG